Molecule: long non-coding RNA, 1254 nt
Filed under: Citrus x clementina
Lineage: Eukaryota; Viridiplantae; Streptophyta; Magnoliopsida; Sapindales; Rutaceae
Description: Citrus clementina (C. clementina) long non-coding RNA (CCLE_LNC002312)
Source: RNAcentral
AGUUCACAUAUUUUUUUUUUCUUUUAACAACAUGAGUAUUUUGAUGAAUUGCGAGAGAGAAUUGAUUAUUUUUGACAAGAAAAACAUGGGUAUUAAUCAUUUUCAUGAUUUAUCACCUAUGUGCAAAGUACAAAUAAAAAUACAACAAUAGAACAAUGAAAAGAAAAUUACCGUUUGGCUGAGGGGUAUUAUGCUGUUACCUGAUCAAUAUUUUUGGGCCCACUCUCUCUCUUUGUUUUUUACAAUUAAAAAUUAAAAAAUAAAAAAAAAAUCACAGGAAAAUCAAGGAAAUCUAAACCUUAUCCUCAUGACAACGGGUUUUUUAUUUAAAUAUACUUCAUUUGUCCUUAAAUGCCAAACCUAUACCCUAUUACAUACAUAUACCUCAUAAAAGUGUAAAAAGUCAAAAAUAACCUAAAAAAAUAUCUAUUUACGUUUAAUUCUUCUCUCAUGACUUCUACAUAAUAACACAACCAAAGUCGAGUAUACUCGACUUUUUACCUGAUUUAAUUAAAAGAAAAAUUUUCAUUUCAAUUUAAGUUGAGUAUUCUCAACUAAUUACCAAACUUCAAUGAAAAGUUAAGAAUUUUUAUUGAAUGAAUAUUGGGUAAAGUUAAAUUAAAGUCGGAUAUUCUCGACUCUUUACUCGACUUACUUGAAAAAAUCGAGAAUUUUUUAGAUAAUUUUUUAUUUCAAUUGAAGUCGAGUAUUCUCAACUAUUUACCCGACUAACAUGAAAAAGUCAAGAAUUUAUGCUGAAUUAUUAAUUGUGUAUGGUUUGAUUGAAGUCGAGUAUUCUUGACUAUUUACCCGACUUCGAAGAGUUGGGUUUAGUUUUAUGAGGAUUUAGUAGUGGUUAUUUUUGUAUUUUCUCUAAUUUUUUAAAGUAUAUAUGUGUAAAAUUUAAGAGUGUUAUAAUUUUAGGUAUAUAUUGAGUAUUUUGAAGGAAAUGGGGUACAUCCCACAUAAUUCUCCCCAUGACACCACAUCAGAAACAGCACUUACCCAUUCCUAUGUUACAUGUAUACAGGUUGAAGUUGUCAUCUCUGAGUCCAACGCAAUAUUCAUCCAAUUGAUUUUUGGAGACACCAAAACAAGUCUCGAGCACUUGAUGGCCCCCGUGGAGAUUGGAGAGGCUUUUGAUAAAUUUUAUGAAAUGAACUAACACACAUAAAUUGGAUAUAUAGAUGAUCGAGAAGAAACUCCAGCGACUAGGCCCCAGAUAUAGCUUUCGCUCCCUUGUCUCUAAAGGAA